GGAGUCAGGGCCCCCUCAGCUCCACCCCGAAGCUUGGCAUGAUUUGCCAUUUUACUGCUCCUCUGGAAUCUGUGCUUCCUCCCGAGCGCAGGAGGUUCCCCUGCCGCGGCUGCCGGCCCCAGGACCUGGAUGGAGAUCGCCCGAGGAGAAUCCGUUCUCCUGGUCACACUACAGAGGCCUAGGGGGACGAGACCUGCGGGGCCUGUCCGGACCCGAGGCGGCGCUCGGGAUGGUCUCCCGUGGAGCAGAAACGCCGUUUCCUGGGUGAGGACUCUUAGUCGCCCACCUGGACGGCGGCGGAGACAUCCGCGCCACCUGCUCCCCAAAUCCACCUGGACGCGCACUCAGCAGGGGUGCGGGGGAGGGGCUUCCUUCCUUGGGGGCCUCGCCUAGAGCCCCCGCCCCUGGGAUGCCCAGACCCCUUUCCCCCUAGCAUGCCCAGCCCCCCAGCACGCCCACCCCUCCGGCACACCUACCCCCACCCAGCACACUCAACCCCGCAGCACACUCACCCCCAGCAUGCCCACCCCCCAAGCACACCCCUUUCCCCCAACACACCCAUCCCCCAGCACGCCCACCACACCUCCCAGCACACCCACCCCCGCCCCUACCUGUCCUGCGGUGUGUGGGGCGGGGGGGGCGGGGGGACUCGGACGACGCCCACGGGGCACACGUGGGCCCUCCUGUGCUCUCCGCACUCCCUCCCGUGCUUCCGCAAGCCUGCGCACUCCACUGGGGAUUACGGUCCAGCCCACCCGGAGGACCCUAUUCAAGCCCGAAGCGCCCCCCUUCCCCUUCCCAGCGCCGCGUACUGCGGCGGCCUUGUUUGAUUACCUGCCUUUCCAUUUCUUCUGUAUUUACAACCCUCCCGACUCCCGGGGAGAGGGCGGCAUAGGCAGCCAAUCAGGAUGCAGUCGUCUCUAAAGGUCAGGGUGACACACAUUUCCCAAGAUCAUUCACGGACUUCGCCCUUCGAUGCCUUGUUCUCAUGACAAAACCUGGCUGCCAGCACUUAAUGUGAUUUCCCCCCAUCUCUGGCAACUGAGAGAAUAAAAAACUGAACAUAAAAAUUAACUCUUUUAUUA
Molecule: long non-coding RNA, 1085 nt
Organism: Homo sapiens (human)
Lineage: Eukaryota; Metazoa; Chordata; Mammalia; Primates; Hominidae
Gene: ZEBTR
Product: ZEB1 transcriptional regulator RNA
Source: Ensembl